GUAGUCAUAUGCUUGUCUCAAAGAUUAAGCCAUGCAUGUCUAAGUAUAAGCAAUUUAUACAGUGAAACUGCGAAUGGCUCAUUAAAUCAGUUAUCGUUUAUUUGAUAGUUCCUUUACUACAUGGUAUAACUGUGGUAAUUCUAGAGCUAAUACAUGCUUAAAAUCUCGACCCUUUGGAAGAGAUGUAUUUAUUAGAUAAAAAAUCAAUGUCUUCGGACUCUUUGAUGAUUCAUAAUAACUUUUCGAAUCGCAUGGCCUUGUGCUGGCGAUGGUUCAUUCAAAUUUCUGCCCUAUCAACUUUCGAUAGUAGGAUAGUGGCCUACCAUGGUUUCAACGGGUAACGGGGAAU
This 349-nucleotide ribosomal RNA is filed under the name Saccharomyces cerevisiae (brewer's yeast). Its description in RNAcentral is "SSU rRNA". It matches the Rfam family "Eukaryotic small subunit ribosomal RNA", at positions 20 to 370 of the family's 1831-position model. Lineage: Eukaryota; Fungi; Ascomycota; Saccharomycetes; Saccharomycetales; Saccharomycetaceae. The record is from RNAcentral.